GUUAUUUCUUUGAAAUCAGUGUUAAAAGACCCACUGUAUAAAGUGGUCCAACAGCGACGAAAACUUCAGAAGCUAGAGGGUUCCGGAAUAUCUCUCCAGGGUGAUCAAACGAAAUAGAGGAUUAAAAGUAAUCCGACCUUGCAGGACCCCUAUCUGUCUAAUCGAAAUUUUACAGAUGACUAUGGAGUGCGCUAUUCCUAACAGGAAUGAUAUUGGCCGCCUAGAAAAAAUGAAGUUUUCGAGCAAAUUUAAAAUCUAGUUAAAGAGAUAAUUACACUUAUCGCUUCCAUGGUCGCAAAUCAGUUUAUGCGUAUACAGCGGUGAUAUGACACGUAUGAAAGAUUAACCGGUGAGGUCUACGGCAAAUGAUAAUACGUAUGGAUGUCACAUAUACACAGCACAUCUAACUCCGUAGCCAUCAGCAGACUCUGCCGAAACUGCACAUUGUACAAGUAAAUAUACACGUGAUUGCGACCGGUCACAUUUUUGGACGAUGCCAUCAAUAUAACUAGCAACGGAAUAAAAUUCAUUAACGUAACAUACUUACCUGGAACUAUGCAAGGUUAUACCUGGCGUCUUCGCUGUUGGAUCUGAUUAAUCGUACAUGGAAAAUUUUUAUUCUGAAAACCGGAUAUGUCUAGAGUCAUCAGAAACAGAAUGUUUGAUACAUUUUCUGCUUUUUAUAAACGAAGUAGAAGGCACUAACUCAAACGUCUUUGUGAAGUGUAGGCGCAAUAUAAACACUGAGAAAAUACAUCCUGGGGAUAUGUUGGACCUCUAAGGUAAAAUAUGCUUGACCUUUUCCAUAGUAUUAAAAAGUAGUUGGUACUACGAACAGUAUCACGAUGAAUCAGGAAUUGAGCCAUUUUUAUGUGGCAAGUCAGAUGUAUGCUGAAAUGGGACGUCGUUGACUUGUGUAUUCAUUAACAGCAAAGCGAACCUAUAAAUACCAUCACAAAAUACACUUUUGACCAGGGCUAGCAAAAUCAACUCAAAUUGGAUGAGUGCAAGGUAUUUAUAAUGCCAAAUGUUAUUAUUUGCUAUUUAUAAGUACCAAAUGGUCGAAGGGGAUUACGAAAAAACGAGGAAUUUAAAAGGAAAAAAAGUCAAUUUGCCCCCCGCUUGGUAUUUCGAAAUGGAAUAAGUAUAAUCGAAAUCAUCUCUAGAGUGCUAUGAACACGACCUUUAACGAUACCAAUUUUGCUAAGAAACGUUAACCUUGGCAAAAAGCUACAUAUCAACACAGUGUUUUUGUUUACACUUCUCAUCGUAUCUGUAUUAAAGGCACACACGUGCGAUGAUACGGUAAAUUCCAACUAUGCACAUUCUGGUAUUUGUUGAAUAAGUGAUUAACAUUUAUUCGAAGUGUGAGCCGUGUAAAUAUCAACGUUGUUUCAGGUGGUAUUGCUACGUGCGCGAAUUUUCAAACGAGGUGUAAAACAUUAUCAACGGUAUAGUUUAUACUAGGCCUUUAAGGGCUAGUAGUUCGUCACCGCUCCAAACGUCUGGCUAUUAUCACAAAGGGCCUUGGUUGUCCUUCAUACGCGUUCAACAAGUAUAUUACUCCUUCGAUAUGCCUUACUGUAUCUUUCUUUGUAAGUUUGAGUAUCGAGUGCAAGAAGUCGUAAAUUUUUGUCUAACCGUAAAGGUUACUAUACGCAACAGA
Molecule: long non-coding RNA, 1666 nt
Filed under: Varroa destructor (honeybee mite)
Lineage: Eukaryota; Metazoa; Arthropoda; Arachnida; Mesostigmata; Varroidae
Description: uncharacterized LOC111245798, transcript variant X3
Source: RNAcentral